This 1190-nucleotide ribosomal RNA is filed under the name Ceratina calcarata. RNAcentral describes it as "eukaryotic LSU rRNA". It matches the Rfam family "Eukaryotic large subunit ribosomal RNA", at positions 401 to 1266 of the family's 3401-position model. Lineage: Eukaryota; Metazoa; Arthropoda; Insecta; Hymenoptera; Apidae. The record is from RNAcentral.
GAAACCGUUCAGGGGUAAACCUGAGAAACCCAAAAGAUCGAAUGGGGAGAUUCAUCGUCGACGGCGUCGGCUCCCGCGUACGCGCGAUGUCCCGGACGUCGAUCGGUGUCAAAGCCGGUCGCGUCGCGAGGACACGCCGUACGCGGCUCGAACGUUCCGGCGUCGUAGUCGUGCACUUCUCCCCUAGUAGAACGUCGCGACCCGUUGUGUGUCGGUCUACGGCCCGAGUGGGCGCCUGUCGCGUCGCGUCUCGRCGCACGCGGCAGACCCUCGGUCGCCCGGCCGGCUGCACGACGGUACUCGCACGGUAUCGGGCCGCAACCAAUCCAUUCUCGAAUGUGUGUGCGUCGGGCCCGCCGCAAGCUCGGUCCAGUCGAACGUAACGUUAAUCCCGGAGGUAACGGACCUGGCGCCGUCCCCGGGUCUGGCCAGCUGUUGGCAGGCGGUGUCCUCGGACUGGCCAAGCCACGAACUACCGGUCGGCGACGCUACAGCUUUGGGUACUCUCAGGACCCGUCUUGAAACACGGACCAAGGAGUCUAACAUGUGCGCGAGUCAUUGGGAUGCACAAACCUAAAGGCGAAAUGAAAGUGAAGAUCGUCCUUAACCGGUCGAUCAAGGGAGGAUGGGCCGCGUCACGAUGCGGCUCCGCACUCCCGGGGCGUCUCGUUCUCAUCGCGAGAAGAGGCGCACCUAGAGCGUACACGUUGGGACCCGAAAGAUGGUGAACUAUGCCUGGUCAGGACGAAGUCAGGGGAAACCCUGAUGGAGGUCCGUAGCGAUUCUGACGUGCAAAUCGAUCGUCGGAACUGGGUAUAGGGGCGAAAGACUAAUCGAACCAUCUAGUAGCUGGUUCCCUCCGAAGUUUCCCUCAGGAUAGCUGGCACUCGCCUUUCGAACGCAUUGCGAGUCUCAUCUGGUAAAGCGAAUGAUUAGAGGCCUUGGGGCCGAAACGACCUCAACCUAUUCUCAAACUUUAAAUGGGUGAGAUCUCUGGCUUGCUUGAACGAUUUUUUUAUGAAGCCACGAGAUUUUGGAUCAGAGUGCCAAGUGGGCCAAUUUUGGUAAGCAGAACUGGCGCUGUGGGAUGAACCAAACGCGGAGUUAAGGCGCCUAAGUCGACGCUUAUGGGAUACCAUGAAAGGCGUUGGUUGCUUAAGACAGCAGGACGGUGGCCAUGGAAGUCGGAA